This 433-nucleotide ribosomal RNA is filed under the name uncultured bacterium. RNAcentral describes it as "partial 16S ribosomal RNA". It matches the Rfam family "Bacterial small subunit ribosomal RNA", at positions 29 to 507 of the family's 1533-position model. The record is from RNAcentral.
AGCGAACGCUGGCGGCAGGCCUAACACAUGCAAGUCGAACGGAUCCUUCGGGAUUAGUGGCGGACGGGUGAGUAACACGUGGGAACGUGCCCUUUGGUUCGGAACAACUCAGGGAAACUUGAGCUAAUACCGGAUGUGCCCUUCGGGGGAAAGAUUUAUCGCCAUUGGAGCGGCCCGCGUCUGAUUAGCUAGUUGUUGAGGUAACGGCCCACCAAGGCGCCGAUCAGUAGCUGGUCUGAGAGGAUGAUCAGCCACACUGGGACUGAGACACGGCCCAGAAUCCUACGGGAGGCAGCAGUGGGGAAUCUUGCGAAAUGGGCGAAAGCCUGAAGCAGCCAUGCCGCGUGAAUGAUGAAGGUCUUAGGAUUGUAAAAUUCUUUCAGCGGGGACGAUAAUGACGGUACCCGCAGAAGAAGCUCCGGCUAACUUCGUG